GGGGCGGCGACCACCUCAGGGCAGAGGCUGCGGGCGUCGCUCAAUGGAGACGCCAUUUUUGGCUGGCAUGACGUUGAUGUUUCCCGCAAGAACCUCCACAGGGUGCACCUGUUAAGUUUUCGUCCUCGGAAAGCUAAAGAACGUGAAUGAAGAUUAUGGAUAACUUUCUUUGAUAGCAAGUUUGCUACGGUCUAGCGACGG
Molecule: long non-coding RNA, 201 nt
Organism: Triticum aestivum (bread wheat)
Lineage: Eukaryota; Viridiplantae; Streptophyta; Magnoliopsida; Poales; Poaceae
Exons: 3
Source: RefSeq, a predicted model, not a curated record